RNAcentral lists this ribosomal RNA (465 nucleotides) under uncultured Spirochaetaceae bacterium. Its description in RNAcentral is "bacterial SSU rRNA". It matches the Rfam family "Bacterial small subunit ribosomal RNA", at positions 338 to 795 of the family's 1533-position model. The record is from RNAcentral. Lineage: Bacteria; Pseudomonadati; Spirochaetota; Spirochaetia; Spirochaetales; Spirochaetaceae.
CCUACGGGGGGCUGCAGUGAGGAAUAUUCCGCAAUGGACGAAAGUCUGACGGAGCGACGCCGCGUGGAUGAUGAAGGCCGGAAGGUUGUAAAAUCCUUUUGUCGGGGAAGAAUAAGCGUGGGAGGGAAUGCCCGCGUGAUGACAUGAACCGGCGAAUAAGCCCCGGCUAACUACGUGCCAGCAGCCGCGGUAACACGUAGGGGGCGAGCGUUGUUCGGAAUUACUGGGCGUAAAGGGCAUGUAGGCGGUCUUGUAAGCCUGACGUGAAAGGCUAUGGCUUAACCAUGGCACUGCGUUGGGAACUGCGAGACUUGAAUCACGGAGGGGGAACUGGAAUUCCAGGUGUAGGGGUGAAAUCUGUAGAUAUCUGGAAGAACACCAGUGGCGAAGGCGAGUUCCUGGCCGAUGAUUGACGCUGAGGUGCGAAAGUGUGGGGAUCAAACAGGAUUAGAUACCCCUGUAGUC